Molecule: long non-coding RNA, 681 nt
Organism: Sciurus carolinensis (gray squirrel)
Lineage: Eukaryota; Metazoa; Chordata; Mammalia; Rodentia; Sciuridae
Exons: 3
Source: RefSeq, a predicted model, not a curated record
GUCAAGAGUAACACUGCUGAGAAGCCCUAGAAGGAAGGACCAGUAGGAAACUGGGAAGGACUUGGAAACUAAAGGAAGGAAAGAAAUACAGGAAGAAAAGUCUAAGGUGAGAAGCUGACUUUAAUAUGCUGUAUGCUCUCGUGCUCCCUACAAGGCCAGGGUCCUGCUCUCUUCUGUUGUCAGGGUGAAGGCAGGACACUGUGUCAUACACUCACUGCAGCAGGAUGCAAGUGCUGGGGUGGAAACCAGGACCUUGUGCUUGCUGGCGAGUGCUCUACUAUGACGGCAAAACCAGACCUGGUUGUGAAAUGAAAUUACAAAAAUGUUAUGGGAAGAAUCCAGUGCCUGGGAAAGGGGUCAGUUCCCUCCCCUCUCUUAGUCUUUCUCCAGGAAAUCUAAUUAACCAUGGGCCCAACCUUUUGCAUUGUCAAUAACUGCCCUAAGAGUCUGACUACUCCCCCCUGAAAUGUAAUAGACGUCUGUGGAAAGAGCUGUUCCUUCCUAUCUGUUCUGUGCACAUGCUUUAUGUUAGAGACCCUGCACAGACCUUCAGCUGCAUGGAUUAGGAAUUUUUUUUAAAAAAAGAGGAAAAAGCCCCAAUGAUAGGAUGAGUGUAAGAUGACGUCAAAUAACCUAUAAAUAUUGUGAGAAACUGUGGAUCAGGGCUCAGAAUUUUGGAGU